This 792-nucleotide ribosomal RNA is filed under the name uncultured bacterium. RNAcentral describes it as "bacterial SSU rRNA". It matches the Rfam family "Bacterial small subunit ribosomal RNA", at positions 8 to 796 of the family's 1533-position model. The record is from RNAcentral.
AGAGUUUGAUCCUGGCUCAGAGCGAACGCUGGCGGCGUGCUUAACACAUGCAAGUCGAACGCGCAGUUCUCUGUAGCAAUACAGGGGAUGGGCGCGUGGCGAACGGGUGCGUAACACGUGGAUAACCUUCCUUCAGGUGGGGAAUAACCCAGUGAAAAUUGGGCUAAUACCGCAUAACAUGACGACGGCACAUGCUGUUGUCCUCAAAGCCGCAAGGCGCCAGAAGAGGGAUCCGCGGCCGAUUAGCUAGUUGGCGAGGUAAUGGCUCACCAAGGCAUUGAUCGGUAGCCGGACUGAGAGGUUGACCGGCCACACUGGAACUGAGACACGGUCCAGACUCCUACGGGAGGCAGCAGUGGGGAAUCUUGCGCAAUGGACGAAAGUCUGACGCAGCAACGCCGCGUGGGGGAUGAAGCUUCUCGGAGUGUAAACCCCUUUCGACCCGGACGAAUGCCCGCAAGGGUUUGACGGUACGGGUAUAAGAAGCCCCGGCUAACUACGUGCCAGCAGCCGCGGUAAAACGUAGGGGGCCAGCGUUGCUCGGAAUUACUGGGCGUAAAGGGUCCGUAGGCGGUGUGGCAAGUCGGAAGUGAAAUCUCUGGGCUUAACCCAGAGGCUGCUCCCGAAACUGCCAUGCUAGAGUGCGAGAGAGGCGAGUGGAAUUGCGGGUGUAGCGGUGAAAUGCGUAGAUAUCCGCAGGAACAUCCGAGGCGAAGGCGGCUCGCUGGAUCGCAACUGACGCUGAGGGACGAAAGCUAGGGGAGCAAACAGGAUUAGAUACCCUAGUAGUCC